AUAUGGUCAAGUGAAGAAGCGCAUACGGUGGAUGCCUUGGCAGUCAGAGGCGAUGAAAGACGUGGUAGCCUGCGAAAAGCUUCGGGGAGUCGGCAAACAGACUUUGAUCCGGAGAUGUCUGAAUGGGGGAACCCAGCCAUCAUAAGAUGGUUAUCUUGUACUGAAUACAUAGGUGCAAGAGGCGAACCAGGGGAACUGAAACAUCUAAGUACCCUGAGGAAAAGAAAUCAACCGAGAUUCCCUUAGUAGUGGCGAGCGAACGGGGACUAGCCCUUAAGUGGCUUUGAGAUUAGCGGAACGCUCUGGAAAGUGCGGCCAUAGUGGGUGAUAGCCCUGUACGCGAAAAUCUCUUAGUCAUGAAAUCGAGUAGGACGGAGCACGAGAAACUUUGUCUGAAUAUGGGGGACCAUCCUCCAAGGCUAAAUACUACUGACUGACCGAUAGUGAACUAGUACCGUGAGGGAAAGGCGAAAAGAACCCCGGAGAGGGGAGUGAAAUAGAUCCUGAAACCGUAUGCGUACAAGCAGUGGGAGCCCACUUUGUUGGGUGACUGCGUACCUUUUGUAUAAUGGGUCAGCGACUUAUUUUCAGUGGCGAGCUUAACCGAAUAGGGGAGGCGUAGCGAAAGCGAGUCUUAAUAGGGCGUCUAGUCGCUGGGAAUAGACCCGAAACCGGGCGAUCUAUCCAUGGGCAGGUUGAAGGUUGGGUAACACUAACUGGAGGACCGAACCGACUACCGUUGAAAAGUUAGCGGAUGACCUGUGGAUCGGAGUGAAAGGCUAAUCAAGCUCGGAGAUAGCUGGUUCUCCUCGAAAGCUAUUUAGGUAGCGCCUCAUGUAUCACUGUAGGGGGUAGAGCACUGUUUCGGCUAGGGGGUCAUCCCGACUUACCAAACCGAUGCAAACUCCGAAUACCUACAAGUGCCGAGCAUGGGAGACACACGGCGGGUGCUAACGUCCGUCGUGAAAAGGGAAACAACCCAGACCGUCAGCUAAGGUCCCAAAGUUAUGGUUAAGUGGGAAACGAUGUGGGAAGGCUUAGACAGCUAGGAGGUUGGCUUAGAAGCAGCCACCCUUUAAAGAAAGCGUAAUAGCUCACUAGUCGAGUCGGCCUGCGCGGAAGAUGUAACGGGGCUCAAACCAUACACCGAAGCUACGGGUAUCACGUAAGUGAUGCGGUAGAGGAGCGUUCUGUAAGCCUGUGAAGGUGAGUUGAGAAGCUUGCUGGAGGUAUCAGAAGUGCGAAUGCUGACAUGAGUAACGACAAUGGGUGUGAAAAACACCCACGCCGAAAGACCAAGGUUUCCUGCGCAACGUUAAUCGACGCAGGGUUAGUCGGUCCCUAAGGCGAGGCUGAAAAGCGUAGUCGAUGGAAAACAGGUUAAUAUUCCUGUACUUCUGGUUAUUGCGAUGGAGGGACGGAGAAGGCUAGGCCAGCUUGGCGUUGGUUGUCCAAGUUUAAGGUGGUAGGCUGGAAUCUUAGGUAAAUCCGGGAUUCUAAGGCCGAGAGCUGAUGACGAGUUACCCUUUGGGUGACGAAGUGGUUGAUGCCAUGCUUCCAAGAAAAGCUUCUAAGCUUCAGGUAACCAGGAACCGUACCCCAAACCGACACAGGUGGUUGGGUAGAGAAUACCAAGGCGCUUGAGAGAACUCGGGUGAAGGAACUAGGCAAAAUGGCACCGUAACUUCGGGAGAAGGUGCGCCGGUGAGGGUGAAGCACUUGCUGCGUAAGCCACGCCGGUCGAAGAUACCAGGCCGCUGCGACUGUUUAUUAAAAACACAGCACUCUGCAAACACGAAAGUGGACGUAUAGGGUGUGACGCCUGCCCGGUGCCGGAAGGUUAAUUGAUGGGGUUAGCUAACGCGAAGCUCUUGAUCGAAGCCCCGGUAAACGGCGGCCGUAAC
Molecule: ribosomal RNA, 1904 nt
Filed under: Pseudomonas kilonensis
Lineage: Bacteria; Pseudomonadati; Pseudomonadota; Gammaproteobacteria; Pseudomonadales; Pseudomonadaceae
Description: bacterial LSU rRNA
Rfam family: Bacterial large subunit ribosomal RNA
Source: RNAcentral